GUCAUAAUAUCACAUAGACGUCAAUGCUGUAGAAAUGUAGAUGCUUUUUGUGGUGCUACCACAGCAUAUUAAAUAAUCACUAUAAUCAUUUACUAUUUGUUUUUAGUUUAUGUAUUUGGAUACGGGAGCAAUGACUAGGGCUGAAACAACUGAAAACCUGAAGAGCAACUAAAGCCUAAACAUGUUUCAGCCUGUUCAGUUUUGUUUUUGUCUUUUAACGCUCCUCCGCCCAUGAAUGUCUUCCUGCUUUCUGACUGAAAACGAGGAAAGAAACUUUGAAACGGGAAAAGAAAUGAUGAAUCCUCCUAAAUACAGGAGUCAGAAGUCAGAAAAGAUGGAUCAAAUAAAGCCUUAAACAGAUGCCAGAGGGUAAAAAAUAUCAACAUGACCAGCUCCGAAAGCACAGUGGCUGUUUUACAUAAUCUUUCUCCCAGGAGAAAAUGGAGCAUUAACGAACCUCCUUCAAUGAGGAUCGUUCUUCAAACAGCGAAGUGGGAAACUUCAUCUUGGGCCGAUCAGCGUUUGACAGUGAAGCUCCUCCAGGUGUUGUGGAGAGAGUGGGAGGAAGACUGAAGGACAGACACGUGACGCUCAUCAACAGUCCUCAGCUGCUCCACACAAACAUCUCAGAUGAUCAGAUCACACAGACAGUCAGAGAGUGCGUGAGUCUGUCUGAUCCAGGACCUCAUGUGGUGGUUCUGCUCCUCCAACAUCAGCAGUGUUCAGCAGAAGAUCAAGAGCGCGUGGAGAAGCUGCAGGACUCUUUCUCUGAGCGUCUUUUUCAACACACCAUGGUGCUCAGCACACAAGAGUCCACUGAACCUAAUGAGAUCCUGCAGGAGAUCAUCCAGACAUGCUCAAACAGACACUUCGGUCUUCUGAGAAGCAGCUCUCCUGAGGAUCUUCUGCAGACCUGUGAGGACACUGAGCAGAGCAAUGAUGGAAGGCACCUGAUUUUAGCAGCUCAAUUUGGAAAUUUACAGUGUUUCCGGGUUUAAAGACCCCACAAGACUAUGUAGGUCCUAAUAGGGCAUGAUAGGUGAACAGUGUAAAAUUAACCUUGUGGCACCACCCAGGAACCAGAGGAUCAGGUCAUGCAUCCUUAGUAUACGGUCAUCAACUAUCUACUUCAUCAUGGUUCUGCUCUAACUUAUCUUGAGGGAACAAAACACUAAUUGGGGAAGUUAUGUGGUCUUUUAAUUAAGAGGAGCACUACUCAGCAGAUAGACUUCCCUUUCAAGGCGAAGUCCUGAGCAAGGAGCUUGUGAAUAUAAUGUAGCAUUGUGAGAUGUGUGUGACUCCAUAGGAGCAGAUGCUAAGGCAGUAGUGAAAUGCAACAUUAACAUACACCACCCGAGUGGUUGAUGUAUGCUAACAAAGACAUGUUGUCCAUCUUGAGCAACACCCUUGCAAAAAAGUGGCCAAAGUUGGUGCAAAGUCAGAAACACAGCCAACAGCUCCCAGCUAUUUAUAUUUCAAUGCAGUUGGGUGCAGUAACGAACACAAAGUUGCAUGCGUAUUGCAUACGGUGCCCUAGCCCAUACAUCUGUUGACACAAAAACAUGCCAGGGCACUUGUUGUAAGGAUAUUCUGUAAAUUAGAAAGGCAAAGUCCAACUAGGGACUGAAUGCAUAGCAACAUAUGGGUGUCAUAGUCACAAUUAAGCAUUGAGAUAAUUGAGGAAAAGAGCAACAUGGUGGCCCAGUGGGUAGCACAAUUGCCUCAGAGCAAGAAGCUCACUGGUUCGAGCUCCGGCUGGGUCAGUUGGCAUUUCUGUGUGGAGUUUGCAUGUUCUCCCUGUGUUGGCUCGAGUUUCCCCCACAGUCCAAACACAUGUGGUACAGGUAAAUUACAACUAGAUUGGCCGUACUGUAUGUGGGUGUGUGCAAGAGUGUGUGGGUGUUUCCCAGUGUUGGGUUGCGGCUGAAAGAGCAUCCACUGCAUAAAAUAUGU
Non-coding RNA from Danio rerio (zebrafish), 1953 nucleotides. Lineage: Eukaryota; Metazoa; Chordata; Actinopteri; Cypriniformes; Danionidae. The record is from RefSeq and is a predicted model, not a curated record.